GUUUGGUCCUAGCCUUAAAGUCAGUUCUUACUUAAUUUACACAUGCAAGUCUCCGCACCCCUGUGAAAACGCCCUUAAUCCCCUAUUGGGAAUAGGAGCCGGUAUCAGGCACAAUUUUUUGCCCAAAACACCUAGCCUCGCCACACCCUCAAGGGACCUCAGCAGUGAUAAACAUUGAGUAUAAGCGAUAGCUUGACUCAGUUAAACUAAUUAGAGCCGGCCAAUCUGGUGCCAGCCGCCGCGGUUACACCAGGAGCUCAAAUUGACUUCAAUCGGCGUAAAGCGUGAUUAAAGAAACUACCUCUAAUGGGAUCAAAUUUAAAUUAAGCCGUGAUACGCUUAUUACCUAAGAAGUUCAUUAACGAAAGUUAUUCCAUUUAUACCUCCUUGAAUUCACGACAACUGAGAAACAAACUGGGAUUAGAUACCCCACUAUGCUCAGUCGUAAACUUUAAAUUACAACCCAUU
Molecule: ribosomal RNA, 468 nt
Filed under: Rheobates palmatus (palm rocket frog)
Lineage: Eukaryota; Metazoa; Chordata; Amphibia; Anura; Aromobatidae
Description: partial 12S ribosomal RNA
Rfam family: Bacterial small subunit ribosomal RNA
Source: RNAcentral